UUUCCUAUUCAGAUCUUCCUCUUUUCUCAAAUCUGGAAGGGAGCAGCUUGCUACUGUUCAAUCUGCGGAGAAGAUGGGUCUCAAGAGACUAUUCCCUGCUAAUUUGGCGACCUCUCCUGAAUCAGCUUCAGAUGGCACUGUGUGUGAAGAGUGAAUGAUUUCCUGAUCGUUGAUUACCAGAAUUGGACUUGAUUCCCAGCAGCCUUGUAAGAUCUCAUCUGUUGGUGAAUAUUGGUAGCAGUGAUGAAGGGAUGAUUCAACAACAAAAGUUCUGGAGAGAAAAUAGACAUCUCCCUCCUCAUUCAACACCUUCAGUCCUAUGGCCAUAAUCCUCCCAGUUAGAAGGCAUUUGGGGAAAUAAGGAACAUAAUUAGCAUUUACCUAUACAGAAUCACAACUAAGUGAUUGCUUACUACUUUCUCUCUUUUUAUGCCUUCCUAUUUCUUUCCCUAGUGGGUUCAGCACGGGAAAAGUCUGGCUUUGUAUCAUCCCAGAGUCAUGGAGCAGAUUUCCAUACUGACCUCAAAGACCAUCUGAUGAAAACAUGAUCCCUUUUGUUCUAUAGGGAUAUAUAAAAACAUUAUAAAUCA
This 590-nucleotide long non-coding RNA is filed under the name Homo sapiens (human). Its description in RNAcentral is "HSALNT0339705". The record is from RNAcentral. Lineage: Eukaryota; Metazoa; Chordata; Mammalia; Primates; Hominidae.